UCAAAUGCAAUGAAGAGGAAGAGUAGGACAUUUAUUUUUUUAAAGAGAGAAAGCGGUUGGUGCAAGCUUUCAAAAAUGAUGUCUGAAGGUAGCCUUGGAGCAGUAUUCCUGAAUUUAUAGUAAGGAAUAACCGGUAGAUUUCUCUAUCGUUAACACAAUGAAGUGCCUGCAAUUUUUUUUCUGUGGGUAAAAAGGUGGUACCGCGAAUAAUACUCUUUUCGUCCUUUUA
This 229-nucleotide non-coding RNA is filed under the name Listeria monocytogenes. RNAcentral's name for it is "T-box". It matches the Rfam family "T-box leader". From Rfam's summary of the family: Uncharged tRNA acts as the effector for transcription antitermination of genes in the T-box leader family. T-boxes are found upstream of many aminoacyl-tRNA synthetase genes and some amino acid biosynthetic genes usually in Gram-positive bacteria. The record is from RNAcentral. Lineage: Bacteria; Bacillati; Bacillota; Bacilli; Caryophanales; Listeriaceae.